CCUACGGGAGGCAGCAGUGAGGAAUAUUGGUCAAUGGGCGGAAGCCUGAACCAGCCAAGUAGCGUGCAGGAUGACGGCCCUACGGGUUGUAAACUGCUUUUAUCCGGGAAUAAAGCCACUUACGUGUAGGUCUUUGCGUGUACCGUAUGAAUAAGCACCGGCUAAUUCCGUGCCAGCAGCCGCGGUAAUACGGAGGGUCCGGGCGUUAUCCGGAUUUAUUGGGUUUAAAGGGAGCGUAGGCCGCAUGUCAAGCGAACUGUGAAAUGUCCGGGCUCAACCCGGGCCUUGCAGUGGAAACUGGCGUGCUUGAGUCGGCGGAAGGCAGGCGGAAUGCGUAGUGUAGCGGUGAAAUGCUUAGAUAUGGCGAAGAACCCCGAUUGCGAAGGCAGCUUGCUGGAGCGGAACUGACGCUGAUGCUCGAAAGCGUGGGUAUCGAACAGGAUUAGAUACCCCUGUAGUC
Molecule: ribosomal RNA, 460 nt
Filed under: uncultured bacterium
Lineage: Bacteria
Description: partial 16S ribosomal RNA
Rfam family: Bacterial small subunit ribosomal RNA
Source: RNAcentral